This 474-nucleotide ribosomal RNA is filed under the name uncultured organism. RNAcentral's name for it is "partial 16S ribosomal RNA". It matches the Rfam family "Bacterial small subunit ribosomal RNA", at positions 332 to 797 of the family's 1533-position model. The record is from RNAcentral.
UACACUCCUGCGGGAGGCAGCAGUGGGGAAUUUUGGACAAUGGGCGAAAGCCUGAUCCAGCAAUGCCGCGUGAGUGAAGAAGGCCUUCGGGUUGUAAAGCUCUUUUGUCAGGGAAGAAACGGUGAGAGCUAAUAUCUUUUGCUAAUGACGGUACCUGAAGAAUAAGCACCGGCUAACUACGUGCCAGCAGCCGCGGUAAUACGUAGGGUGCAAGCGUUAAUCGGAAUUACUGGGCGUAAAGCGUGCGCAGGCGGUUUUGUAAGUCUGAUGUGAAAUCCCCGGGCUCAACCUGGGAAUUGCAUUGGGGACUGCAAGGCUAGAAUCUGGCAGAGGGGGGUAGAAUUCCACGUGUAGCAGUGAAAUGCGUAGAUAUGUGGAGGAACACCGAUGGCGAAGGCAGCCCCCUGGGUCAAGAUUGACGCUCAUGCACGAAAGCGUGGGGAGCAAACAGGAUUAGAUACCCGUGUAGUCCCA